RNAcentral lists this long non-coding RNA (435 nucleotides) under Rattus norvegicus (Norway rat). Its description in RNAcentral is "long non-coding RNA NONRATT028224". Lineage: Eukaryota; Metazoa; Chordata; Mammalia; Rodentia; Muridae. The record is from RNAcentral.
CCAUUCCAGGAAGAGGGCACCAUGUCCUCUCGUACUGGGCUCUUCAGUGUCUGCCACAGCAGGGUCCUGAAGUGGGAGCAAGCAGGCUUCAGGAGAUGGGUGGGAUGAAAUGAAGGGUGGGGGUCAGCCUGGAAGAGGUCUCUUUGCUUCAGAGCACCCAAACCUUCUGUGACAGCCAUCUCUCCCUUCAGUGUGCCUGAAGGGCACCAAGGUGAACUUGAAGUGCCUCCUGGCCUUCACCCAACCGAAGACCUUCCAUGAGGCGAGCGAGGACUGCAUCUCACAAGGGGGCACGCUGGGCACGCCGCAGUCUGAGCUAGAGAAUGAGGCGCUGUUCGAGUAUGCGCGCCAGAGCGUGGGCAGCGAGGCGGAGCUCUGGCUGGGUCUCAACGACAUGGCUUCGGAAGGCGCCUGGGUGGACAUGACCGGCGGCCG